AGCCAGUCUGGUGGCUGUUCCUGUGUGUUUACUACACGGACCAGGCAGCAGCAGACACUUGGCUUCACAUGCACCUAACUAACAGCAGCCAGCUAAACACUUUAUAGUUCCAUCUGAAAGAGAAUCUCCAAGAAUCCAACAUGCCCAAGAGAAAGCAGGGAGCCGCUGGGGACACCAAGGAGGAGCCCCAGAGGAGAUCCGCCCGGUUAUCAGCGAAACCAGCCCCAGCCAAGACUGAACCCAAGGCCAAGAAGGAGAAACCAGCAAAG
Long non-coding RNA from Oncorhynchus gorbuscha (pink salmon), 269 nucleotides. RefSeq lists it as uncharacterized. The record is from RefSeq and is a predicted model, not a curated record. Lineage: Eukaryota; Metazoa; Chordata; Actinopteri; Salmoniformes; Salmonidae. The transcript is spliced from 4 exons.